AGAGUUUGAUCCUGGCUCAGGACGAACGCUGGCGGCGUGCUUAACACAUGCAAGUCGAGCGGAAAGGCCCUUUCGGGGGUACUCGAGCGGCGAACGGGUGAGUAACACGUGAGUAACCUGCCCCAGUCUUUGGGAUAACCCUCGGAAACGGGGGCUAAUACCGGAUAUGACAUGCCACCGCAUGGUGUGUGUGUGGAAAGUUUUUCGGUCUGGGAUGGGCUCGCGGCCUAUCAGCUUGUUGGUGGGGUGAUGGCCUACCAAGGCGACGACGGGUAGCCGGCCUGAGAGGGCGACCGGCCACACUGGGACUGAGACACGGCCCAGACUCCUACGGGAGGCAGCAGUGGGGAAUAUUGCACAAUGGGCGGAAGCCUGAUGCAGCGACGCCGCGUGAGGGAUGACGGCCUUCGGGUUGUAAACCUCUUUCAGCAGGGACGAAGCGAGAGUGACGGUACCUGCAGAAGAAGCGCCGGCCAACUACGUGCCAGCAGCCGCGGUAAGACGUAGGGCGCGAGCGUUGUCCGGAUUUAUUGGGCGUAAAGAGCUCGUAGGCGGCUUGUCGCGUCGGCUGUGAAAACCCGUGGCUCAACUGCGGGCUUGCAGCCGAUACGGGCAGGCUGGAGUUCGGUAGGGGAGACUGGAAUUCCUGGUGUAGCGGUGAAAUGCGCAGAUAUCAGGAGGAACACCGGUGGCGAAGGCGGGUCUCUGGGCCGAUACUGACGCUGAGGAGCGAAAGCGUGGGGAGCGAACAGGAUUAGAUACCCUAGUAGUCC
Molecule: ribosomal RNA, 773 nt
Filed under: uncultured bacterium
Lineage: Bacteria
Description: bacterial SSU rRNA
Rfam family: Bacterial small subunit ribosomal RNA
Source: RNAcentral